RNAcentral lists this ribosomal RNA (399 nucleotides) under Kalmusia variispora. RNAcentral describes it as "eukaryotic LSU rRNA". It matches the Rfam family "Eukaryotic large subunit ribosomal RNA", at positions 87 to 492 of the family's 3401-position model. The record is from RNAcentral. Lineage: Eukaryota; Fungi; Ascomycota; Dothideomycetes; Pleosporales; Didymosphaeriaceae.
CGGCGAGUGAGCGGCACAGCUCAAAUUUGAAAUCUGGCUCCUUUGGGGUCCGAGUUGUAAUUUGCAGAGGGUGCUUUGGCAUCGGCGGCGGUCUAAGUUCCUUGGAACAGGACAUCGCAGAGGGUGAGAAUCCCGUACGUGGGCGCCUGCCUUUGCCGUGUAAAGCCCCUUCGACGAGUCGAGUUGUUUGGGAAUGCAGCUCUAAAUGGGAGGUAAAUUUCUUCUAAAGCUAAAUACCGGCCAGAGACCGAUAGCGCACAAGUAGAGUGAUCGAAAGAUGAAAAGUACUUUGGAAAGAGAGUCAAAUAGCACGUGAAAUUGUUGAAAGGGAAGCGCUUGCAGCCAGACUUGCCCGCAGUUGCUCACCCAGGCUCCGGCCUGGGGCACUCUUCUGCGGGC